Molecule: unclassified non-coding RNA, 291 nt
Filed under: uncultured fungus
Lineage: Eukaryota; Fungi
Description: partial contains 5.8S rRNA, ITS2 and 28S rRNA
Rfam family: Eukaryotic large subunit ribosomal RNA
Source: RNAcentral
AAGGAGUCUAACAUGCCUGCGAGUGUUUGGGUGGAAAACCCGAGCGCGCAAUGAAAGUGAAAGUUGGGAUCCCUGUCGCGGGGAGCACCGACGCCCGGACCAGACCUUCUGUGACGGAUCCGCGGUAGAGCAUGUAUGUUGGGACCCGAAAGAUGGUGAACUAUGCCUGAAUAGGGUGAAGCCAGAGGAAACUCUGGUGGAGGCUCGUAGCGAUUCUGACGUGCAAAUCGAUCGUCAAAUUUGGGUAUAGGGGCGAAAGACUAAUCGAACCAUCUAGUAGCUGGUUCCUGC